Long non-coding RNA from Pieris rapae (cabbage white), 487 nucleotides. RefSeq lists it as uncharacterized. NCBI's taxonomy places the organism in Eukaryota, Metazoa, Arthropoda, Insecta, Lepidoptera, Pieridae. The transcript is spliced from 3 exons. The record is from RefSeq and is a predicted model, not a curated record.
UAGGCAUCUUUUCCAUUACACGGUUGUUCAAACGUACGGUGUGUAAGCCGUACGGUUGAAAAAACGUGCUAGCUUGUACAUGAUACGGCAAAAUCACCGCGCGAGACAUUGGAAAAAGAAAAUAGAAAAAAAAAGGGAAGUAAGGUUUUGGAUACAUCCGAUUUUAGAAAAAAGGGAGGAAUAUGGCGCGUUUCAUACACUUGUCAAGAAUCAAUUGAGAGAAGAUGAAGACAAGUUUUACAAUUAUUUUAGAAUGCAGAAAACUACAUUCGACAACUUGCUCCAAAAAUUAUCCCAGGAACUAAAACAUCAAGAUACUUUUAUGCGAGAGAGUAUAUCGCCCGCAGAAAGAUUGGCUGUAACUCUGAGGUAUCUAGCAACAGGAGAUACCUUUACUGACCUAUACUACAGCUAUAGAAUUGGAAUAAAAACCAUAAGUUGCAUCGUACGUGAAGUAUGCCACUACAUUUGGUUAGAACUGUAUAAA